GCCUGGUGGUUCCCAAAGACGGCCAUCCCAUGCCAGUCGCUGGGUUUUGAUUGACAGGCAUAAAUAAACUCUGCGAUUUGAUGCAUGGAUGCUUCAACUCUCCGUAGCCUCCAUAGCCCGGUUGCAGAGACAUAA
Molecule: small nucleolar RNA, 135 nt
Organism: Coregonus clupeaformis (lake whitefish)
Lineage: Eukaryota; Metazoa; Chordata; Actinopteri; Salmoniformes; Salmonidae
Product: small nucleolar RNA SNORA84
Exons: 1
Source: RefSeq, a predicted model, not a curated record